Non-coding RNA from Chelonia mydas (Green sea turtle), 74 nucleotides. The record is from Rfam. Lineage: Eukaryota; Metazoa; Chordata; Testudines; Cheloniidae.
UGUGGCGAUGAUGAUCCACUUGCCCUCACUGAGAACACUGUUCGGUAAUGAGAACCUUGAAGAGCUGAGCCAGC